Molecule: RNA transcript, 6438 nt
Organism: Microplitis mediator
Lineage: Eukaryota; Metazoa; Arthropoda; Insecta; Hymenoptera; Braconidae
Gene: Nhe1
Gene name: sodium/hydrogen exchanger 8
Exons: 3
Source: RefSeq, a predicted model, not a curated record
AAUAUAUGACAUAUAGGACAUAAAUUAUUACGUGUGUAUGCGUAAUUGUAAUUAUUAGUAAAUUUUAAUUGUUUUAUUAAAAAGUAAUUGACAUUUAGUGGGUAAAAUUCAAAAAAUUUAAAUAAUAAUAAUAAAAAUAUAAAAUGUUUAUAUGCUUGACGUAAAAAUGUCUAAUUUAAAUUUAAAAUCACGUAAAUAUUACCAAUGGUUAUUUAUAUUACUGAUAAUAAUAGACCUAGCAGCUGGAGAUGACAUAAAACCAGGACUAAAUGUCACAAUUACAACAGCAGCAUCAGCGACGUCAUCAUCAUCAUCAUCACCGACUGCUACAACUGCGGACUUGGAACCGUUGAAAAAAAUUUUAAGUACCAAUGUGACAGAUGGUGUCAGAAGUGACAAAGUCUCCAAUGUCAGUGUGACAAGUGAUAAAGAUAAAAAUGUCCAGGUCCAGUCAUCAACGAGUACCAUGACCCCGACAGUGACACUGCGGUCUACUGAAGCUAGACCUGAUCAGACAGCAGUAAAUGUCACAACACCAGCAGCUGGGUCUGGAGGAACCAACAUCACGAACGAGACCAGCACGACACCCAAGAUUGAUGUGGUGCCAGUGAAUAUAACAAACAUCACAUCAACAACAGCAGCUACGUCUACUGAAGCAGUUCUACCAGCGAAAGAGUCUGCAGAAGAUGAACACAACAGUUCAAUGUCAAUAUUCUUCGUGCUGUGUGUCCUAGCACUGGGUAUUCUUCUAAUUCACUUGAUGUUGCAGACAAACUUCCAGUACCUGCCCGAGUCAGUGGUGAUAGUCUUCCUCGGAGCCGCUAUCGGUAUGUUUAUAAACUUCAUGUCGCACAAGGACAUCGCUAACUGGAAGAAAGAAGAAGCAUUUUCACCAACAGCAUUUUUUCUUGUUCUUUUACCGCCGAUUAUUUUUGAAUCCGGUUACAAUUUGCACAAAGGUAAUUUUUUUCAAAACAUCGGCAGUAUCCUCGUGUUUGCAAUAUUUGGUACCGCAAUUUCCGCGUUUGUAAUUGGAGCUGGUAUUUAUUUGCUGGGAUUAGCACAAGUUGCCUACAAGUUGAGUUUCGUCGAGAGUUUCGCUUUCGGAUCAUUGAUAUCUGCAGUUGAUCCGGUAGCAACAGUUGCUAUUUUUCAUGCACUGGACGUUGAUCCAGUUCUCAACAUGUUGGUAUUUGGCGAAUCAAUUUUGAAUGACGCAAUUGCUAUUGUUCUGACGACGUCAGUACUGGAAUCAAAUAACGGAGCGACAACUGGCGAAUCAAUAGUACUUGGAUUGAACAGAUUUUGCUUGAUGUUCUUCGCAUCUGCUGGAAUUGGCGUUGUCUUUGCGCUGAUAAGUGCGCUGCUGCUUAAACACGUCGACUUACGAAAAAAUCCAUCACUGGAAUUUGGUAUCAUGCUGGUGUUUACCUACGCCCCGUAUGUUCUAGCAGAAGGCAUACAGUUGUCUGGUAUCAUGGCUAUUUUGUUCAACGGCAUCGUCAUGUCGCACUACACACAUUUCAAUCUAUCGACUGUUACGCAAAUAACAAUGCAGCAGACCAUGAGAACACUGGCGUUCAUUGCUGAGACUUGUGUGUUUGCGUACCUGGGACUCGCGUUAUUCAGCUUCCGGCAUCGCGUCGAACCGGCUCUGGUCACUUGGUCACUUAUUUUGUGUCUCAUCGGCCGGGCAGCUAAUAUAUUUCCGCUGGCCUUGCUGGUCAAUCGGUUCAGGGAGCAUCAAAUCACCAAGAAGAUGAUGUUCAUCAUGUGGUUCAGUGGACUGCGUGGUGCUAUUUCUUACGCACUUUCUCUUCAUCUUAAUUUCAGUGACGAAACUCGUCACGUUAUCAUCACAACGACACUAAUUAUUGUUUUGUUCACGACAUUAAUUUUUGGCGGGUCUACGAUGCCGCUUUUGAAGUUUUUACGAGCGGAAAAAAAACCAACCACUGGAAGUAUUGGCGGUGGGAGAAGAAAAAAACGUGAUAAAGAAAUUUCAUUGAGUAAAACGAGAGAAUGGGGACAAACAAUCGACUCGGAGCAUCUAUCAGAAUUAACAGAAGAAGAGAUGGACGUGUCGUUCCGACAAUCAAGAAUCGGUGGAUUCGCACGCUGGGAUUUAAAAUUAUUCAUCCCCUUCUUCACCCGACGAUUCACGCAGCAGGAACUCAAGGACUGCAAGUCGCAGAUGACGGACCUGACGAACCAGUGGUACCAGGCGAUAAGAAUAAGCCCUGUCGAGUCCGAUGAGGACGACGAAACAACGGCAUCGACUGCACAAUUGCACAACUUGAGCUCGGCGAAUAAAUCCGACGGAAAUGCCAGGAGUGAAAGCCAGUGUAUUACCGCGGGAGGAAAAAAAGGACGUCAAAAUCGACACGGGUCUAUAUUGAGUAUUUAAAUAAAUAUAUCAAGGGUGUGCCAAGUUUUUAAAAGCUAUUGUGAUGCUUACUAAAUUACGAGGAUUUGUCAGAAUAACUGAUUGUCAAUCCGGAAAAAAAUAUUAAUUAUCGCACUGUAAUAAAUUAAUAAGAUAAUUUUAUUUUAUGAUAUCAUAAAAUAUUUUUGCUAAUUAUUAUUGUAAAUAAUGAUAAAUUUUAAGUCAUUUUUAUUUAUAUAUUGUGCGGCAGGCCGUCUACACAUUCAUCAAUAUUUAAUAGCGUCCAUAAUAUGUGAUCAAUAUAAUUACUUUUAUUAUAAUUAUUAUCGUUUAUUUAUAAACAUCGUGCAGUUUUACUGCGUGCAAUCCGUCACCAAAUGAGGCGCGGUUUUAAAAUCAAAUUUUAAAUUUAAAAAACCAAAAGCGCGCGAACGAAAAUUAUUAUUUAUAACAACUGUCACUUGAAAAUUAAUUAUCAUUAAAUUUUUCAAAAAUAUAAAAGUACUCAGAUAAAAAAAAAAUUUUGAAUUUUUUAAUCCGAUUUUAAAAACGAGCCUCAAUAAAUAAAAUAAAAAUGCACAAUUAAAUUAAUUAAUUAGUACAUUUGUAGACUGAACGGCCUCAGGUUUUAAUUAUAAAAAAUAAUUAUUAUUUAUAUUUAAUUAAUUAAAUUUUAUUUAUUAUUUACGUACAAAAAAAAGGUUUUAAUAAAUAAUUUAUAAUUAUCACUAACAUUUAAACAAAACUAACACUGUAUAUUGACAAUAAAGUCAUUUAUAUUAAAUAAAGUGUACUUACUUAAAUUUUAUUAUUAUAAAUUAAAUAUAUCAGGGUUAAUUAUAACAACAUAAUAAAUUAAUAACUUUUUAAAUUAUUAUUUAUUUCGUUAAUUAUUUUAUCUUCGGGUUUGCUGGUUGCAAGGAAGAAUUCUACGUAAAAGGUUUUUUUUUUAUUAAUUAUCAAUAUCAAUAUCAUUAUUAUUUUUUUUGUUUUCUUUUUUAUUGUAAUGGAUUAAUAAUUAAAUGUCCAUUAGACAGAUUCAAAAAACCGACUAUUUUUUUUUUCAAAAAUUAUUCGAUGACGAAAAAAAAUUCUGUUAAAGUUUAAACUCUUGAUAUUUAAAUUACCCGCGUAAUCGCGAUUUUCGAUUUCUCAUUUAAAUAACGGGAAAUUUUUUUGGAGUCGAAUUUUAUCGGUCAGCGAAUGAGUGUAGCGGAAAAAUCAAUAGAUACUUUUUGUUGGAAAUUGAACGCUCUAUAAAAAAGGUCUCUUAUCAUUUUUUGAUAAAUUUAAUUUUUCAAAAGUUAUUGGAUGUCUAUAUUGGGUUCAUAGUAAAUUUGAGUAUUUUCUGACUUUUUUGGCGAAAGUAUCAGGUAUCAGAUUUAUUACAAAAUGUUAUGAGACAUUUUUUGUAGAUCUUUUAAUUUCCUACAAAUUAUCUAGAACAAAGUUUUCAAAAUUCCUGAAAACUCUUUAGUUAUCUGCAUUUAAAUGUCAACUCGUUCAAAGAAAUCAUAUCCGGCAGAUUUUUAUUACUUUUAAAUGCAAACAACAACUGAAGAACUUUCAAAAAUUUUGGAAACUUUAUUCUAGAUAAUUUGUAGGAAAUUAAAUGGUCUACAAAAAAUGUCCUAUGAUAUUUUACCAUAAGUCUGAUAGUUUCGCCGGAAGUCAGGAAAUACUAAAAUUUACUAUGAAUUCAACUAUGAACUUAAAUAACUUUUGAAAAAUUAAAUUUAUCAAAAAAUAAUAAGAGAACUUUUUUGUAGAGCAUUCGAUUUCCAACAAAAAUGUCCAUUGAUUUUCCGAUCCACUGAUUCGCUGAGUGAUAAAAUUCUACUUAAAAAAAGAAUUUUCCCGUUAUUUAAAUGGGAAAUCAAAAAUUGCGAUUACGCGGGUAAUUUAAAUGUUAAAAAAUAGUCGAUUUAUUUGAAUGUCUAAUGUCCAUAUUUACUCUUAAUUGGGCACAUGUGGGGAAUAGGCAGCAUCUACAAAACACAUCAACGAUUAUCGUUUUAAUCACUCACGUCAUUUAUUCCACUAUAUAAUUACUAACCUUUUUAUUUAAUUAAUUUUAAUUAAUAAUUCAUCAUUUAUUUUUUUUUACUUCAUUUAUUAAUAAUUAUCCUCCUAACUAGAGCAAGUUACUAAAUUACUUAAAUUUUUCAAAAUACAAAAAAAAUAUAAUUAAUUAAAUUUUGCUCUAGUAGUUUUUAAAUUUAAAAAUUUAAUUAUCCCCGUAACGACAAGUUGUUGAGUUUCUAAUAAACGUGAUCAGGGAAAUCUAUUGGAAAUAAAAAUUACAAUUAUAUUUUACCAUUUAAAUUUUAAUUAAUUAAUUAGUCAAUCAAUUAAUUAAUUAAUAUAUAUAUUUAUAUAUAAUAAAUCAAUGUAACUUUGCUGUUCUUCACUGCACUUAAUUGCUAUCAAUGCAAGUUAGCAAAGCAAUUACGAAUUUAAUUUUUUUUUCUAUUGUACAUCAGUCAAGAAGCAGCAUCCGAUGCGUCGGCAUCUCAAGUAAUUGUUCAUUAAUUAUUAAUUAUUAAUAACAUGAUAUUGAAAUAAAUCUCAAUUAGUUUUACAAUAAUUAUUAUUACUAUUAUCAUUAUUAAUUAUAAAGACAAUCUACAGUACUGAGAUUUAUUUCACCUGACAGGGAAAUUCUUAGUUUAAAACGUAAAAAAAUUAAACAAUAAAUAAAACAUUAAAAAAAUUUUAAGGGAGUAAGAAGUCUGAGAUACAAAAAAUGGAGCAUAUUUUUGUCAUUUUUUUUUUUCAGAGCAUCUUCGCUAUUAAAAUUCUUAAAAUUUGUGACAUUAUUAAGCAUCACUCCAAGAAUAUUCUGCUAAAUUUUCAUAAAAAAAUAUUGAAAAAUAAGCCAAUGGUAGAGGGGAGAGACGAGUCACCUUAAAAAAAGUCUCUAUGCCGUAGGCAGGAUAACUCAUGGCUGCCUUAUCUGAAUUCAGAAAAACCAAAAAGAUUUCUUUAGUACACAAAUUUAUCUUAGAUUUGAACGAAGGAUUUUUUUUUCAAUAUCUACUUAUUGUUUAAUUAAACAAAAGCAAAAACUUUUGGCACAAAUCAGAGUUUUUUGAUUGCACCUUUACCAAAAAUUCAAAAAUGAAUAUUUAGUUUAUUCCUUCGUUCAAAUCCAAGAUAAACUUAUGUACUAAAGAAAUCUUUUUGGUUUUUUGAUUUCAGAUGAGACAGUCAUGAGUUAUCCUGCCUGCGGCAUGGAAACUUUUUUUGGAGGUGACUCGUCUCUCCCCACUACCACUGGCUUAUUUUUCCAUAUUUUUUAAUGAAAAUCUAGCAGAAUAUUCUUGGAAUGAUGCUUAAUAAUGUCACAAAUUUUUGAAUUUUAAUGACGAAGGUACGAAAAAAAAAAUUCACAAAAAUAUGAUCUCUUUUUUGUAUCUCAGACUCCUUUCUCCCAUUAAUGGACGAAUUUAGAGCAGCAAUUCGCCUUAAUUAAUUUUUAAGUCAAUCGGAUCUAUUUACAAUCGAUAUUGCUUUUAUUUAUUUAAUUAUUAAUUAUAAAGUUUUAAAAAAUGCGGCACUUGUGAUAAAUUUGAAAAUUUUAUAAUUAAUGUCAUUAAUAAAUAAAAUAUAUAAUUUAGUAAUUGUAAAAAAAUUAUUAUUCAAUGCCAGUUAUAUAAAAAUUUUGAUUAUCCGAUCGACUUAAUCAAUUAUUUUUAUUAUUAUCAUUAAUCAUUAAUUGUUUUUUUUUUUUACCUGAUUAUUAAAUAAUGCAAGACGCGAUAAAAUUACACUACUUAAUUAUACUGUACAGCAAUGAUUUUAAAUUGAUGAUACAUUUAUAAUAUAUAUAUUUAUAUAUAAUUAAUUAAUUAAUCAAUUAAUUAAUAAUAAUAAUUUCAAAUAUUUAAAACAAGAAGACAAUAAUUGGCGGGUCUUGGUCUUAUCGGCAAGACAUGGAGACAAAAAAAAAACAAUUACAGUAAAACUAUUUAAUUAAUAAUAAAAAAAAAUUAAUUAUUAUUAUUAAUUAUUUAUUAAUUAAUAAAUUACGAAUCUCGUUCAAAAUAAAU